UCCUGGCUCAGGACGAACGCUGGCGGCGUGCUUAACACAUGCAAGUCGAACGAUGAACCACUUCGGUGGGGAUUAGUGGCGAACGGGUGAGUAACACGUGGGCAAUCUGCCCUUCACUCUGGGACAAGCCCUGGAAACGGGGUCUAAUACCGGAUAGCACUACCGCAGGCAUCUGUGGUGGUUGAAAGCUCCGGCGGUGAAGGAUGAGCCCGCGGCCUAUCAGCUUGUUGGUGAGGUAAUGGCUCACCAAGGCGACGACGGGUAGCCGGCCUGAGAGGGCGACCGGCCACACUGGGACUGAGACACGGCCCAGACUCCUACGGGAGGCAGCAGUGGGGAAUAUUGCACAAUGGGCGAAAGCCUGAUGCAGCGACGCCGCGUGAGGGAUGACGGCCUUCGGGUUGUAAACCUCUUUCAGCAGGGAAGAAGCGAAAGUGACGGUACCUGCAGAAGAAGCGCCGGCUAACUACGUGCCAGCAGCCGCGGUAAUACGUAGGGCGCAAGCGUUGUCCGGAAUUAUUGGGCGUAAAGAGCUCGUAGGCGGCUUGUCACGUCGGGUGUGAAAGCCCGGGGCUUAACCCCGGGUCUGCAUUCGAUACGGGCUAGCUAGAGUGUGGUAGGGGAGAUCGGAAUUCCUGGUGUAGCGGUGAAAUGCGCAGAUAUCAGGAGGAACACCGGUGGCGAAGGCGGAUCUCUGGGCCAUUACUGACGCUGAGGAGCGAAAGCGU
Molecule: ribosomal RNA, 728 nt
Filed under: Streptomyces sp. 02-C-5b
Lineage: Bacteria; Bacillati; Actinomycetota; Actinomycetes; Kitasatosporales; Streptomycetaceae
Description: bacterial SSU rRNA
Rfam family: Bacterial small subunit ribosomal RNA
Source: RNAcentral